UACGUAGGGUGCAAGCGUUACUCGGAAUUACUGGGCGUAAAGCGUGCGCAGGCGGCUUUGCAAGACAGAUGUGAAAUCCCCGGGCUUAACCUGGGAAUGGCAUUGGUGACUGCACGGCUAGAGUGUGUCAGAGGGGGGUAGAAUUCCACGUGUAGCAGUGAAAUGCGUAGAGAUGUGGAGGAAUACCGAUGGCGAAGGCAGCCCCCUGGGAUAACACUGACGCUCAUGCACGAAAGCGUGGGGAGCAAACAGG
This 253-nucleotide ribosomal RNA is filed under the name uncultured bacterium. RNAcentral describes it as "partial 16S ribosomal RNA". It matches the Rfam family "Bacterial small subunit ribosomal RNA", at positions 524 to 776 of the family's 1533-position model. The record is from RNAcentral.